Molecule: regulatory RNA element, 147 nt
Rfam family: Ribosomal protein L10 leader
About the family: This family is a putative r-protein leader autoregulatory structure found in B. subtilis and other low-GC Gram-positive bacteria.
Source: Rfam
GAAUUUAAUAUUGGAUUGCCAUAGACAGUAGGUUACUUGUUAUAUACAAGUAGUAAUUGAUGAUAUAUCAGCCUACCGAGGUAAGUUUUUAAGGUGAAUAACACCCCUCUAUGUCUAUGUGCAUAUGAGGGGUUUUAUAUUGACUUU